GAAAACACUGGCUUUGACUUCAGACACAUCACGACUUUGAUGGAACGCUGCAAAACCUUGGGUUAAGGGUCAGAGGUUAGCUGUUUGUGCGUGGGCGGGGCUUAAAGGUGUUUGCUCAGCGCUGAUAUUAGUUUAUUUCCUUCUCCGCGCCUCCUUUAAACACGAUCAGGUGCAACUUUAUUAUUCUGGAUUCACAUCUUUGAGUUUUCCCGAGGCCUUCGUGACCUCUGACCUCUGUGCCGAUGCUGCGAUGUUAUCCUCCACAUCAGCUCUGUGUGAAGGCACGCCGUCAGCUCUCAGUAGAUUUUUAAUCAUUUUGCCCGGUUUGUACACGUGUGUGGUGCCGCACGGAGCCUGGUGAGGCGAGCGCGGCGUAUUCUGAGCGCGUUAUGUGAUAAUCGUCCUCUCAGAUGAAAGCUGACGGGCUGAACCUUCGCUCUCGGGCUCUCCGGCGCUCGCGGUGAUAAAAGUGAAAACAUUAAAAAUGCGUUGCUGUCAAACACUUCCGGAGUUUUUCUCUGUGGCGUUUAGAGCUGAUUCCCACACAGCAGGGAUAUCGUCUGUAAUGGUUCCAAACCUGCCGCCGUCCUCCAUCCAUUACGCUCCCAGUCCCCCUCUCAGCCUCAGCCGCCGGCUCUCACCGUCAAUGACCGACUCUCAUCCACAAUUAUCAGCUCUCCUUCCUAAUCACCAGCACUCAGCUCCAGUUUGAACCCUCCCACUGCAGCCACUGACCCUCUCGUCUGCCGCUGCGUGUCCACUCCACAGUUCCUGGACGCCGGCGUUCCUCCCGUGGGAUUGUGGUUUUUUUGCAGACUGUACGUUUUGUUUCCUGGUGAAAAAGACUGUUCAGUCUUACUGUCCAACCAUGAAGGCAAACCUGACAGCGUGUGCAGGAAUUAGACCUGACCAUAAAGAUAAUAACAAUGACAGAAGUUUGAUUGUGGGCGGGGCUUAGGGAGCUUGAGUCACACUAGACCAAAAAGAGGACGGCGACCUCCCUGCAACCAAAACGAUCUGACAGAUUUCGCUGCUGUGACUGCCGCGUUCAUCUCCGUGGCGCUCCCUCUGCUGCGCAGCGUUUAGGUCACAGCCUGAUCGAAAACAUGAACACAGGCCAAAGAACCCCGACGAGCGUGCACGUGGAGGCUGCAGAGGCGUGCCCGGUGAGAUCAUCAGCGUACCUGCUGCUCACCUGAAACAGUAAAAUGUCACGGCGGUGUCCGCUCGAUGACACGACGCCUAAACCCUCCGACUAAAGGGGGCCGGGCCGAGUAUUUAUCAGACGCGCUCACGUGAAGCGCCUCGUCCACAUUUCUCCUCCUGAUGGAUCCGUACGAGCGACGAGCUGAGGAGUGAUUUUAUUUCAGGCCGCAGCCCAGAGGGAGCCGCUCGAGCCGGCGUGAAACGGUUAACGUGAAAUAUAAAUCCAAAUAUUUGUGUCAGGAUUUCCCCUCAGGAGCGCUAACAGCGGCGGGUUUGGGAGGAAGUGGGGACGGCGCUAACGCUCCAUCAUUAUCCUGAAGUCUGAUUUACCGUCGCUGCUCUACAGCUGAGAAACCAUCGUCUCAGGUCGAUGAGCGGGAAACAGAAACAGGAAGUGACCUCACAGACACUCAGCAGCUCAUCUUUUUUUAUUAAGCUGGGAGAGUCUCCAAACGUCUGCGCGCUCACGACCAUAAAGUCACGUGAUACAAACAGACGUUCGUGCCAUGAACACACGAGUCCAUAAAAGAAUUAAACACACGCGACACAGACAGGAACGCUCACGUCAUGUGACGACCUGCGUGAACGACGGCGGGAUGCAGAUUUCUCCAAUUCUGAAUAUGUUUAAGGUUCCAUGAAGGUUUGAGUCGAUGAAACCGGGAACGCUGAGGUUCACCGCUGAACGGUCGUGGGUUCGAACCUCGCAGGUCAACGGUGCCUCUCUCUGACUGGUGACGGCAGAUUUGCUCCUCCAGCGUUCAGAGCAGCGGCUCUGUUGCCACUCGUGGUGCUGAUGCUGCUGCUGACCUGAUGACGCUUGUUUCUAUGGAUACCGCCCAUCAUUGUGUUGGAAACAUUAUCUAAGUCAACCUUUCAGUGAAAACAAGAGAAAUGAA
Molecule: long non-coding RNA, 2102 nt
Organism: Oreochromis niloticus (Nile tilapia)
Lineage: Eukaryota; Metazoa; Chordata; Actinopteri; Cichliformes; Cichlidae
Exons: 2
Source: RefSeq, a predicted model, not a curated record